AAAACUGAAAUUCGGGCUAAAAUGGGGAAAAUACCAAGUUGUGGACGAAAUGGUAAAAAUAGCCAUUUUCGCAUACGAGUGUUGACAAGCCAGCUCGGAAAUCGGAAACGGUCGGAGGCACGCUCACACUAUCCGUAUACCAUCUUGGCAUAAUGGCUUGUAUAUUUUGAGUAUGGCAUGUAUAGCAUUAUAAUCAUUUUAUAUGUAUGGUCUUAUGAUAUGGUUAUUGAGUGGUAUGGAAAUAGAAAUGCUUGGUAAUGAUUAGCCAUUGGAAUGGCUAAUCAUGAUCAUAUUUGGUAUUAUGUAUGUCAAAUUGCUAGCUAAUCCAUGGAAACCAUGAAAUAGGUAAAAUUUACCAUAAAA
Molecule: long non-coding RNA, 363 nt
Organism: Gossypium arboreum
Lineage: Eukaryota; Viridiplantae; Streptophyta; Magnoliopsida; Malvales; Malvaceae
Exons: 2
Source: RefSeq, a predicted model, not a curated record